RNAcentral lists this ribosomal RNA (121 nucleotides) under Scophthalmus maximus (turbot). The record is from RNAcentral. Lineage: Eukaryota; Metazoa; Chordata; Actinopteri; Pleuronectiformes; Scophthalmidae.
GCUUACGGCCACGCCGCCUGGUUCCACGCACGAUCUGCGUUUGAUCUCGGAAGAUAAGAUAGGGUGGGCCUGGUUAGUACUUGGAUGGGAGACCGCCUGGGAAUACCAGGUGCUGUAAGCU